Molecule: non-coding RNA, 1476 nt
Organism: Podarcis lilfordi (Lilford's wall lizard)
Lineage: Eukaryota; Metazoa; Chordata; Lepidosauria; Squamata; Lacertidae
Source: the annotation of a GenBank genome assembly
UUUAGAUUUUCAUAGCAUCUUAAAGUUUCUGCAGACAAGUCUUGAAAAAUACUGACUGGACUGGUUUUUGAAGGUAAUUUGUUUCAUCCUAUGUAAUCAUGCAUAAUUUGCUUCCUUUUGUGCCAAGAAAGUAAUGGUCUAUCAUGUGUUUUGAUUUGGCUCUUGCUGAAAACUUUUGGUGCAAAUGCUCUCUGCGUCCAUGCGAAGUUGACUUCAGAAAUAAGGCGGAAAUACAACUAAGAGCCAUGGUAUUAAGAAACGCAGCAUAGGAUCUUCUUCCACUGACAGAAGAAUCCCAUAAAACACCAGGUUCAGAUUUGAAAGUUCAGAUUGUAGGUCUCUAGCAACUUGCUUCAUGCUUCUGACCCGUUUCUAUCACUGCAUUACACAGAGAGAUCAGAUAGAUUAUUCAAAACCUCAGGAUUUUUUCCUCUGUCUUUUUUCUUCUGUAGCUCUGAUUAAAUCCACCGUAGGUGCUGGCCAUGAUUCUCUGUUGUAUCACAUUCUUUUAGCUUUUGUCUACGAGUUAGGCUUUGUGUUUUAUCUGAGAGAUUCUGUUAGAAUAAUAAAGGUAUUAUUGUGAUGUUGGGACUCAAUAUUCUGUUCCUUCUUUUCACAGGAAAUGUUCAGCAAUUCACAGAUUGAUUGAUUUUGCUGUUUAUUGUGUUUUCUACCACUGAUAAUCUAAUAGAAGCUCAGAGUUUUUGGGAUACACUGCUAUCUUUUGAGGGGUGUGGGUUAGGAACACCUACAACAACCAGGAGGGAGGGUCCCAGUACUUCCUCGCUACAUGUUGUCAGCGUCAAUAAUUGCUUCCAAGCCCAGAAAAGACGGUUGCAAGAAUGAAGUCAGAUGAGAAUGUGAGUAUAUACAAAGUUCUGGAAUCAGAAGCAAGUGUAUUGGUAACCAUGGCAACACAAACAUAGAGGGCUAUCGCAAAGGGUGGUGAUUAGAAUCCAGCUUAUAACUGAAGGAGAUUUCUCAAGUGAUGGAGGCAGAGAUUCUGCAAACUUCACAAUUACAGGAGGUUUUAUUUCCCCAAGCUCCAUGUUGCUUUGCUCAAGCAAAAGUACUUUUUUUUGGGGGGGGGCAGAAAAAGUCUCACCGAGUUCUGAUGUUUAUGAGCAAAGUAGCAUGGAAAGUAUCAUAUACACUAUGGGUAAGCCCUGGGGAAAAUAGUUUCCUGAUCCCGUCUCUUAGUUAUCUAUCUGGAAUUUUCAUCUUUCAAACAUGGGCUAAGUAGACAUGGUAACACAUUCAUUGAUUUACGUGCACGGAAUCCAACUCUGAUUGGAAAAUAUAGUUAACAGAUGUGGUUAUGUGACAUUUUCUGCUGGGAGGGAGUCACCUCUUUUUCACACAAGUAGGGCUAAUGCACAUCUCACCCUCUAGCCUUCUAUUUUCAAGGGAUCCCUACACACUUAUUUCCUCUUAUUAUAUAGAAUUCAGAUUAUGAAAAAAACUACAGAAUUACAC